This 74-nucleotide transfer RNA is filed under the name Candidatus Nanopelagicaceae bacterium. RNAcentral describes it as "tRNA-Gly". It matches the Rfam family "tRNA". Rfam says of the family: Transfer RNA (tRNA) molecules are approximately 80 nucleotides in length. Their secondary structure includes four short double-helical elements and three loops (D, anti-codon, and T loops). Further hydrogen bonds mediate the characteristic L-shaped molecular structure. tRNAs have two regions of fundamental functional importance: the anti-codon, which is responsible for specific mRNA codon recognition, and the 3' end, to which the tRNAs corresponding amino acid is attached (by aminoacyl-tRNA synthetases). tRNAs cope with the degeneracy of the genetic code in two manners: having more than one tRNA (with a specific anti-codon) for a particular amino acid; and 'wobble' base-pairing, i.e. permitting non-standard base-pairing at the 3rd anti-codon position. Lineage: Bacteria; Bacillati; Actinomycetota; Actinomycetes; Candidatus Nanopelagicales; Candidatus Nanopelagicaceae. The record is from RNAcentral.
GUUGGUGUGGUGUAAAUGGCAGCACGUCUGUUUUUGCCAAAGAGGAGGUGCGGGUUCGAUCCCCGUCGCUGACA